This 426-nucleotide ribosomal RNA is filed under the name uncultured Actinomycetes bacterium. RNAcentral describes it as "bacterial SSU rRNA". It matches the Rfam family "Bacterial small subunit ribosomal RNA", at positions 233 to 671 of the family's 1533-position model. Lineage: Bacteria; Bacillati; Actinomycetota; Actinomycetes. The record is from RNAcentral.
GCGGCCUAUCAGCUUGUUGGUGAGGUAAUGGCUCACCAAGGCGACGACGGGUAUCCGGCCUGAGAGGGCGACCGGACACACUGGGACUGAGACACGGCCCAGACUCCUACGGGAGGCAGCAGUGGGGAAUAUUGGGCAAUGGACGAAGGUCUGACCCAGCGACGCCGCGUGAGGGAUGAAGGCCUUCGGGUUGUAAACCUCUUUCAGUAGGGAAGAAGCGAAAGUGACGGUACCUAAAGAAGAAGCACCGGCUAACUAUGUGCCAGCAGCCGCGGUAAUACAUAGGGUGCAAGCGUUGUCCGGAAUUAUUGGGCGUAAAGAGCUCGUAGGUGGUUUGUUGCGUCGGGUGUGAAAUUCAGGGGCUCAACCCCUGACCUGCACUCGAUACGGGCAGACUAGAGUUUGGUAGGGGAGACUGGAAUUCCU